CUUCUGCUUCUGAUUAUAGGUCCAUGUGUGUUAGAGAAACUAGUUAAUAGGUUUGACUCCUACAAAAAGAUAGAGACGCUCAACAAGGUUGGUUUGAGUCUUGGUUCACUCGGUCUCCCUGGAUGACUACCCUACUCUCUGCUAUAUGGCUGGGCCAUUACUAAUAAUUUUCUUGGUUUUAGUUUUUGGACCCUGCGUGACAAACAGGUUAAUUGCUUUUGUUACAAAUCGAGUGAGUGCUGUGCGGUUGAUGGUUCUGAGACAACAGUACCAGUCAGUUAGGACAACUGGGAGGUCAAAUGAGAAACUUAACACUAAAAUCCUAAGGUUAGAAUUUGGUAGUAGAAGGAGAGGGGAAUGAGAGAUAAAAUUUUAAAUUAACUCAAAACACAGUAACAAGAUCUGACUGAGGAAGACAGAUGGCUAAAAUUGCAGAAGAACUGAUACUGACACAGUUGUUUUAUCACCAGUGUGAGCAGUCGUUCUGUCUCAGUGAUGUUUGUUUAAGCCCCUUAUACCUUGCAGAGAGCAUUCCAGGAAACCUGCCGGCCCAAAGCCUAACCAGAUGUGUUUCAGAUGCAGAUGCUUCAUCAACUCCGACCCACAUUUACUCUGACAGGACAAGAGAUAAGAUUUGCUCUCGGAAUAAUGAGGACUCAAAGACCCGACCCUUCUCCUGAUUUAGUAGCUUUGUUCCAGAAAUGGGGGGCCAUAAAACCUUUUGGCGUUCCCCUCAUCUCCUGGGGCCAUAAAACCUUUUGGCGCCCUGGUGCCCCCUUAUCCUCUAGAGUCAUAAAACAAUUAGACAUCUUACAACUCUGUGAUAUCUCUGGCAUUCCUUUCUGAUAUCCCCUUUUUUCCCUGAGGCUCGAGGCCUCUCCCCUUUAAAAAGCCCCUCUCCCAACCACUCGGGAUCGAACAUCCCUGUCUCCUGCAUGGGACACAUGUUGAUCCGGAGAUCUCUGUAAUAAACCUCACCUUUUGUGUAUUACAUUC
This 996-nucleotide long non-coding RNA is filed under the name Rattus norvegicus (Norway rat). RNAcentral's name for it is "long non-coding RNA NONRATT026369". Lineage: Eukaryota; Metazoa; Chordata; Mammalia; Rodentia; Muridae. The record is from RNAcentral.